This 253-nucleotide ribosomal RNA is filed under the name uncultured bacterium. Its description in RNAcentral is "partial 16S ribosomal RNA". It matches the Rfam family "Bacterial small subunit ribosomal RNA", at positions 524 to 776 of the family's 1533-position model. The record is from RNAcentral.
UACGUAGGGGGCGAGCGUUGUCCGAAGUUACUGGGCGUAAAGAGCGCGUAGGCGGACCUUUAAGUGAGGGGUGAAAGGUUCGGGCUCAACCCGGAGAGUGCCUUUCAUACUGGGGGUCUUGAGUGCGGGAGAGGCAAGUGGAAUGGUCGGUGUAGCGGUGAAAUGCGUAGAUAUCGUGAGGAACACCAGAGGCGAAGGCGGCUACCUGGACAAUUGCUGACGCUCAGGCACGAAAGCGUGGGGAGCAAAAGGG